Ornithorhynchus anatinus (platypus) is the source of this 102-nucleotide small nuclear RNA. The record is from RefSeq and is a predicted model, not a curated record. Lineage: Eukaryota; Metazoa; Chordata; Mammalia; Monotremata; Ornithorhynchidae.
UAGCUGGUAGGAUGACAAGAUUCAGGAGAAAUGAUACAGAGAAGAUUAGUAUGCCCCCUGUGUAAGGAUGAAACCCAUAUUCACAAAGCAUUCCAUAUUAUU